RNAcentral lists this ribosomal RNA (332 nucleotides) under Megalops atlanticus (tarpon). RNAcentral describes it as "partial 12S ribosomal RNA". It matches the Rfam family "Bacterial small subunit ribosomal RNA", at positions 889 to 1385 of the family's 1533-position model. Lineage: Eukaryota; Metazoa; Chordata; Actinopteri; Elopiformes; Megalopidae. The record is from RNAcentral.
CUAGCUUUAAACCCAAAGGACUUGGCGGUGCCCCAAACCCACCUAGAGGAGCCUGUUCUACAACCGAUAACCCCCGUUAAACCUCACCACUCCUAGCCAACCCCGCCUAUAUACCGCCGUCGCCAGCUUACCCUAUGAAGGCCCAACAGUAAGCCCAAAGAGUACAACUCAAAACGUCAGGUCGAGGUGUAGCGCACGAAGUGGGAAGAAAUGGGCUACAUUUUCUCAACCCAGAAUACUUGCGAACGACACAGUGAAACCUGAGUCCAAAGACGGAUUUAGCAGUAAAAAAGAAAUAGAGAGUCUUUUUGAAACCGGCCAUGGGACGCGCA